UCCGUGGACAGGAAGUUUUAGUCAAAAAAUUUAACUGUUCCCCAACAUCCACUAUCCUUCAGGGAUUUAUGGAUCUUGCAGUGCUUGAGCACAAAAAUGUAGUUAGAUGCAAAGGAUACUGCAUUGAAGAAAAGGCUAUUUUGGUCUAUGAAGACAUGCCAAAUCGAAGAUUGGACACAUUCAUCAAUUACUUUCACUUGCUUCCAAGAAAUACAAGAGUGGAAUUAUCACUCUACUGGUCUUCAUGCUUCCAAGUAAUUAAAGGGAUAGCCAAGGGUGUCUCAUAUAUACAUGAGAAGUUCAUGCCAUGGGGAGAUCCUUUCAGUGGGGGUCUAAAACCAAGCGACAUCCUCAUGGAUUCUGAUUGGAAUCCUAAGAUAAUCACUAUCGGAAUCUCUAGAGUAAUAGAGAAAUCUGCUGAGGCAAGAGCGGUGCAAGAAUUAGUCCCAAUGUAAGAUAGUAUCACAUAUACUUGACCAUCCAUGCUUGCACGUAUUUACGAGAUGUUCAGUUUUGCUUUGACUAGCAUGUUUUCUUUAUAAUGCAUUGGUUUUUCAGGGGUUAUAGAGCUCACGGAUAUGUUGUUUCGGGUGAGGCAUCCGUGGACAGUGAUGUGUACAGCUGCGGCCUUAUAGUUCUUGAGAUUAUUACAGGAUCGAGCUUCUCUCAAGAGGGACAGAGAACCGAUUUCAAAUCAUUAAUUGACCAUGCUUGGGUUUGGUAUAAAACGCUCAAGGAAAAGGAACUUGAAGACCCAAUAUUGUCCUGUUAUUUAAGACGGAUACGAAGCUGCAUCAAAUUAGCAACGUAUUGCAUCAAAGAAAAUCCAGGAGACCACCCCACCAUGGAGGUAGUUCUUGAUUUUGUAAAUGAUAGAAUUGUCCAGGAACCCGCUCCAACGUGACCCGGAAUAUUACACGAAACCAUCGGCCUACUGUGUGGUAUGAAGGAGUACAUAUUGAACCCAUUCACUGCGGAAGGCAGAAUGAGAUGCUGUCUUUAUUGUGGUGUUGUAGUAUAUUAUUGAUUUUUGCAUGGCAUCAGUGCUUAUAGCUAGAUCACUGUGUGCACAAAGUAUGAAUUUAGAAUG
This is a long non-coding RNA of Setaria italica (foxtail millet), 1090 nucleotides long. RefSeq lists it as uncharacterized. The transcript is spliced from 3 exons. Lineage: Eukaryota; Viridiplantae; Streptophyta; Magnoliopsida; Poales; Poaceae. The record is from RefSeq and is a predicted model, not a curated record.